GGAAUUUUCCGCAAUGGGCGAAAGCCUGACGGAGCAAUACCGCGUGAGGGAAGACUGCCCAUGGGUUGUAAACCUCUUUUUUCAGGGAGGAAUAAAAUGACGUGUACCUGAAGAAUAAGCAUCGGCUAACUCCGUGCCAGCAGCCGCGGUAAGACGGAGGAUGCAAGUGUUAUCCGGAAUCACUGGGCGUAAAGCGUCUGUAGGUGGUUUAAUAAGUCAACUGUUAAAUCUUGAGGCUCAACUUCAAAACCGCAGUCGAAACUAUUAGACUAGAGUAUAGUAGAGGUAAAGGGAAUUUCCAGUGGAGCGGUGAAAUGCGUAGAGAUUGGAAAGAACACCGAUGGCGAAAGCACUUUACUGGGCUAUUACUAACACUCAGAGACGAAAGCUAGGGUAGCAAAUGGGAUUAGAUACCCCUGUAGUC
This 424-nucleotide ribosomal RNA is filed under the name uncultured eukaryotic phytoplankton. RNAcentral's name for it is "bacterial SSU rRNA". It matches the Rfam family "Bacterial small subunit ribosomal RNA", at positions 358 to 795 of the family's 1533-position model. The record is from RNAcentral.